AUGGCGUCCUUUUCUGCCGCUCUCGUCGCGCUGCUGGUCGCGAGCUGCGCCGCGGCGGCGGCGGCUACGACGUUCGACGUCGGCGACGGGCACGGCUGGCAGACCGGCGUCGACUACACGGCCUGGACGUCCGACAAGACCUUCGCGGUCGGCGACGCGCUAGUGUUCAACUACACGAGCAAGGCGCACACGGUGACGGAGGUGAACAAGAGCGGCUACGACGCCUGCUCGGGCGGCAACUCGCUGAGCAACGACGACAGCGGCGCCACCACCAUCACGCUCACGACCCCUGGCGUGCACUACUUCAUCUGCGACGUCCCCGGCCACUGCGCCAGCGGCAUGAAGCUCGCCGUCACCGUCACGGUCGCGGGGGGCUCCACGACGGGAGGCACAAUCCCCGCCGGCGCCGCCGGGGGAUCCCUCCUGCCGGCGAUGAGCGGCCUCGUCACCGCCGCCGCGGGGGCUCUAAUCGUGCUCGCACCAUUCUGA
Molecule: ribosomal RNA, 489 nt
Filed under: Triticum aestivum (bread wheat)
Lineage: Eukaryota; Viridiplantae; Streptophyta; Magnoliopsida; Poales; Poaceae
Description: partial small subunit ribosomal RNA
Source: RNAcentral